GGUCUCUAUAGUUACCCAGACUAAACCUAAAGGUCUCUGUAGUUACCCAGCCUAAACCUACAGGUCUCUAUAGUUACCCAGCCUAAACCUAAAGGUCUCUGUAGUUACCCAGCCUAAACCUACAGGUCUCUAUAGUUACCCAGCCUAAACCUAAAGGUCUCUAUAGUUACCCAGCCUAAAGGUCUCUAUAGUUACCCAGCCUAAACCCAAAGGUCUCUGUAGUUACCCAGCCUAAACCCAAAGGUCUCUGUAGUUACCCAGACUAAACCUAAAGGUCUCUGUAGUUACCCAGCCUAAACCUAAAGGUCUCUAUAGUUACCCAGCCUAAACCUAAAGGUCUCUGUAGUUACCCAGCCUAAACCUAAAGGUCUCUAUAGUUACCCAGCCUAAAGGUCUCUAUAGUUACCUAGCCUAAACCCAAAGGUCUCUAUAGUUACCCAGCCUAAACCCAAAGGUCUCUAUAGUUACCCAGCCUAAACCCAAAGGUCUCUAUAGUUACCCAGCCUAAAGGUCUCUAUAGUUACCCAGCCUAAACCCAAAGGUCUCUAUAGUUACCCAGCCUAAACCCAAAGGUCUCUGUAGUUACCCAGCCUAAAGGUUUCUAUAGUUACCCAGCCUAAACACAAAGGUCUCUAUAGUUACCCAGCCUAAACCCAAAGGUCUCUAUAGUUACCCAGCCUAAACCCAAAGGUCUCUGUAGUUACCCAGCCUAAAGGUCUCUAUAGUUACCCAGCCUAAAGGUCUCUAUAGUUACCCAGCCUAACGGUCUCUAUAGUUACCCAGCCUAAACCUAAAGAGCAAGCGAAGCAGAAGCACAGACAGGUUCCUCCAGCUAACACCAUCUCUCUGUUCCCUCUAUGGUUGUGCAGGUGGUUGAGCUGUCCGAGAGGGCGACUCUGGACAAGGCCAUGGUAGAGCUAUGGGGUCUGGAGGACUACAUUUGGGGGAGGGGCCUCCGCAGGAACUGAGGAAGUAAUCGGACAACCAGGAACAAUACACACACACACAGAGACACACGCGUUACCGUGACUAGAUAUACACAGUCCUGCGUUACAGUGACUACAUAUACACAGUCCUGCGUUACAGUGACUACAUAUACACAGCCCUGCGUUACAGUGACUACAUAUACACAGCCCUGCGUUACCGUGACUACAUUUACACAGCCCUGCGUUACCGUGACUACAUUUACCGUCUUGAUGUCACAUUUACUGGUUUUACCCUCGUGAGCUGUCGUUGCUUGUAGCCAUAUUCCCUUAGACAUGUUCUGACACGUCCCCUGUUGUUUGUCCAUUUCUUCAUCUACUUUGGAUAACUGUCAACAAUUUGAUUGACUUGGAAUUUUGAACUUGUCCAAUAUUCAGUUGGGGAGAAUAUUUGCGUCCACUGUUGCUGCUAGUACUGCAUGUUAUGUUAUGUUGCUACUAGUACUACAUGUUCUGUUACUACUAGUACUAUAUGUUAUGUUUCUGCUAGUACUAUAUGUUAUGUUUCUGCUAGUACUAUAUGUUAUGUUGCUACUAGUACUACAUGUUCUCUUUCUGCUAGUACUAUAUGUUAUGUUACUGCUAGUACUACAUGUUCUGUUUCUGCUAGUACUACAUGUUCUGUUACUACUAGUACUACAUGUUCUGUUACUGCUAGUACUACAUGUUAUUUGACUGCUAGUACUGCAUGUUC
Oncorhynchus tshawytscha (Chinook salmon) is the source of this 1677-nucleotide long non-coding RNA. NCBI's taxonomy places the organism in Eukaryota, Metazoa, Chordata, Actinopteri, Salmoniformes, Salmonidae. The record is from Ensembl.